This 489-nucleotide long non-coding RNA is filed under the name Rattus norvegicus (Norway rat). RNAcentral's name for it is "long non-coding RNA NONRATT026108". Lineage: Eukaryota; Metazoa; Chordata; Mammalia; Rodentia; Muridae. The record is from RNAcentral.
GUGCUAGCUGCAUUCCUGGCCUGGAAGCGAUGAGCCCGUCCUACCCCUGUGUCACUCUGGAUGGUUUUGCAGAGGUGCCUCACCUGAUCCUGGGUAGAUGACAUCACCCUACAGUCAAUCAAAACAACAAACCCAUGAAGGGCAGCUACAGCACGGGUGAAGUUUGAAAAUAUGCUCAAUGAGAGAAGGCAGCUACAAAAGGACACACAUUAUUCCAGUUCUGUGAAAUUCCACAGCAGGUAAAAACAAUGGGACCACAAGAUUGCGGCAACUACUCGAGGGGGCUAGGAAGUGGGUGUGGGUGGGGAAAUGGUUUUGGGGGGUAAAUAAAAGUUAUUUUGGAAUUAAACAGUGGUGAAGGCUGUAUAACCUUGCAAAGGUCCCAGUGGCACUGGGUGGAUACACUAGACGUGUGUAGUGUGAAUCAUAUCUGAUUUAAAAAUGAUUGCAUGUAACAUCAAAGGCAACAAUAAAAUUUCCUUCCUUCUC